UCAUAAAGGAAAUUGGUCUGAAACUUUCU
This 29-nucleotide non-coding RNA is filed under the name Mus musculus (house mouse). The record is from RNAcentral. Lineage: Eukaryota; Metazoa; Chordata; Mammalia; Rodentia; Muridae.